This 1343-nucleotide ribosomal RNA is filed under the name metagenome. Its description in RNAcentral is "bacterial LSU rRNA". It matches the Rfam family "Bacterial large subunit ribosomal RNA", at positions 1564 to 2912 of the family's 2925-position model. The record is from RNAcentral.
UGAGUGCGAGCUGCUACGGCAGCGAAGUGGGUGACGUCAAGCUUCCAAGAAAAGCCCUAUACCCGUUAAGGCAUGAUUGCCUGUACCCGAAACCGACACAGGUGGGGUGGUAGAGAAUACCGAGGGGCGCGAGGUAACUCUCUCUAAGGAACUCGGCAAAAUGGCCCCGUAACUUCGGGAGAAGGGGUGCCACCGCAAGGUGGUCGCAGUGAAGAGGCCCAGGCGACUGUUUACCAAAAACACAGGUCUCCGCUAAGUCGCAAGACGAUGUAUGGGGGCUGACGCCUGCCCAGUGCCGGAAGGUUAAGGAAGCUGGUCAGCGUAAGCGAAGCUGGCGACUGAAGCCCCGGUGAACGGCGGCCGUAACUAUAACGGUCCUAAGGUAGCGAAAUUCCUUGUCGGGUAAGUUCCGACCCGCACGAAAGGCGUAACGAUCUGGGCGCUGUCUCGGAGAGAGGCUCGGCGAAAUAGAAUUGUCUGUGAAGAUGCGGACUACGUGCACCCGGACAGAAAGACCCUAUGAAGCUUUACUGUAGCUUGGUAUUGUGCCCGGGCUCGCAAUGCGCAGGAUAGGUGGGAGGCUUUGAUCAUCGGCUUGCGGGUCGGUGUGAGCCACUGGUGAGAUACCACUCUUUGCGAGCUAGGGUUCUAACGGCCACCCGUGAUCCGGGGGCCGGACAGUAUCAGGUGGGCGGUUUGACUGGGGCGGUCGCCUCCUAAAAGGUAACGGAGGCGCGCAAAGGUUCCCUCAGGCUGGUUGGAAAUCAGCCGACGAGUGUAAAGGCAGAAGGGAGCUUGACUGUGAGACCUACAAGUCGAACAGGGACGAAAGUCGGCCUUAGUGAUCCGACGGUUCUGAGUGGAAGGGCCGUCGCUCAACGGAUAAAAGUUACUCUAGGAUAACAGGCUGAUCUCCCCCAAGAGUUCACAUCGACGGGGAGGAUUGGCACCUCGAUGUCGGCUCAUCGCAACCUGGGGCUGAAGUCGGUCCCAAGGGUUGGGCUGUUCGCCCAUUAAAGCGGUACGCGAGCUGGGUUCAGAACGUCGUGAGACAGUUCGGUCCAUAUCCGGUGCAUGCGCAGGAAUAUUGAGAGGAGUUCUCCCUAGUACGAGAGGACCGGGAGGAACGCACCUCUGGUGUACCAGUUAUCGUGCCAACGGUAAACGCUGGGUAGCCAUGUGCGGAGAGGAUAACCGCUGAAAGCAUCUAAGUGGGAAGCCCACCUCAAGAUGAGUAUUCCCAUGGCAUAAGCCAGUAAGGUCACGGGAAGAACACCCGUUGAUAGGCUCUACGUGGAAGCGCAGUAAUGCGUGAAGCGGAGGAGUACUAAUAGACCGAGGGC